This is a long non-coding RNA of Carlito syrichta (Philippine tarsier), 1059 nucleotides long. RefSeq lists it as uncharacterized. The record is from RefSeq and is a predicted model, not a curated record. NCBI's taxonomy places the organism in Eukaryota, Metazoa, Chordata, Mammalia, Primates, Tarsiidae. The transcript is spliced from 4 exons.
AUACUCACAACGAAGGAUCCCCCUCGAUCCAAUCACCCACCCACUGGGCCCCACCUUCAACACUGGGGAUCUCAUUUCCACAUGAGAUUUGGAGGGGACAGCAAUCUAAACUAUAUCAAGCACCAAGCAAGUGUUUGAACCUCUGAGAAGAGAGAUGAAGGGAUUAUACUGAGGGUUGAUCAAAUCCUUGAAGAUGCUUGGAGGGACCACAUCGGAUAUUGUUUCUGUAGCUUCAUACCUGAUAAGUUGAGAUGCGUGGAAACAGAAACAGCAUGUUUGUGAGGUUACCUUCUUGGACGAAACACCGUUACCAAGAUUCGCUUAGAAGGCGGCAAGAAGUAUGCUAGAGCUAAGUGUCAAGGGAAGGUUUAUGGAAAGUCAUUCAUGGAAAGUCGGGUGAAAAAGAACUAACACAUGUCAAGAUACCAUGUUUCUGUGUCUAAGUCUCUCUCUCCCUCUCGCUUCAAGACGAGUAUUUCGAGCAUGUGAGAGGAGCCAAGAUGAAAGGCACCUGUUUAUCAAGGUCACUUUCCUCUGACUGGCUCCAACAGUCUCUGAUCUCUUGAGAUUUGCUGUGAGAUGAAAAGCCAACUUACCGUCAUCCAGGUGUGCCUUACUUUAAGAGAAAGAUAUUGCAAGCAUUGAUUGAAAGACGUCUUUGCUUUAAAGGUAUUUGUGACAGAGUUGUUUUGGAGAUUUCCUGAGACCGUCUUAAAAAUUGACUCUUUGAUGUGCUCCUCUGUGAGUGAUCAUCUUAGGAACCAAGGGGGAACUCUUCGUUUGGUGUUAAGACAAAUAACUGGGAACCUGGAUGUGAUCGCUUGAACGCCAUAGCCAUUUCUGAUGAUUAGGGAAACUUGAAUAUGGAAGAUGCACUAAUGAGGAGAAGCAGCAAGGUGGAAGAGGCCUGUGUUUCUAUGACCCUGGAGCAGCAACAUCUGACCUUUGUCUAUGUUGAUCACUUCUGAAUCCUCAGGAUAUACAACAAUGUCAAUUACAUAAUUGUUGCUCAUUAAUUUUUGAAUGGCCAAAUAAAUAAAUGAUGUGUACUCUCCCGGA